Molecule: long non-coding RNA, 3057 nt
Filed under: Pelobates cultripes (western spadefoot toad)
Lineage: Eukaryota; Metazoa; Chordata; Amphibia; Anura; Pelobatidae
Source: RNAcentral
CUUGAUUUAAUGCAUCUCUAUAACGAGGUGCCGAUUGGUGCAGCGAAUGCUUAGUAGCUUCUUAAGCAGGCUGUGGCUGAUGGGAGUGGGAUGCCGCUGGUCUAGACUCCCCCUCCUGUCUCCUAUCAAAGUGCAGGUCUCUGUGUUUGUCUUGCAGGGACACUUUGGGGGAGAUUUAUCAGAGUGUUAACAAUACUUUUAUGGUUACUUUUCGGUAAAUAUUUGGCACACUUUAUUAAUUAGGUCAAUUUUUUUUUUCCUCUGCUACUUUUGUGCCCUAACAGUCAUUUUGAACAUACACCAUUCUUUAAUUGUCAUAAUGAAUUUAUCAAUCUUCACAUCAAUUUUUCUGACAGAAAGGUGGCCUUGUUUAAGUUCUCUUUUCUUUUUUCAGCCUCCCCAAAUUCAUUUGGUCAGCCCAACCUCAGUAGAAUGUUAUAGCACCUGUGUACCGCUCCAGUCUCCCAUCACGGCCAGACUGACAAAAAGCAGCCAUGGAAAGUGGUGUUAUACAACCAGUAUAAUGCAUCUGUCACUGCACAGAUAUACAGUUGUUUAAUUAAACAAAAAAGGCAAGAUUGAACAUUCGUAUGUGAAUAAGUGCACUUCAAUGACUUCAAAUAAACCAUACAACUGCUUUAUUUUAUGCCCUUUUGCUAGAGUAUGCAGUCAAUAUUUCAGCUUCAUUACUUCAAUGUUCGGUAAGGUAACAAACAUUUCAAAUGUUGAUUAGGUAGCAUAACUAUAUAUUGCUAACUGCUCUUGUUUUUUUCAAACCACUCACUGACCCGCACACUCUUUUACAUGUAGAUACAUGGAAACAUUGUUAAACAUAUACACUCACUAUUACAAAACAGCCCGAGGGUGAGAGGCAAGAUUUAUGAAGGACUAUGGGUGAUCUACGGCAAAUUUUUCCACGAGCAUAUUUUAGGCAUACUAGAACCAGUUCAACAUUUAUUUGACUGAUGUGGACUUGGACUGGGCUCUAUAGCAAUGGCUUUAUGCAUAUAGUCAUGGGAAAAAGAAUGGUCACCCUCUUCGAAUUCUAUGGUUUUACUUAUUACAUAAUCUGUUCCUUAGCAGGUCUCUAUGUUAGGUAAAGACAACCUCAGAUAAACAACACAUGACAUAACACGUAUCAUGAUUCAUUUAACAAAAAUAAAGCCAAAAUGGAGAUGCCAUGUGUGAAAACCCAAGUACACCUUAUGAUUCAAUAGCUUGUAAAACCCUCUUUAGCACCUAUAACUUGAAGUAAUCGCUUUCUGUAUGACUAUCAGUCUCUCAUAACGCUGUGGAGGAAUUUUACCCACUCUUCUUUAAAACGUUGCUUCAGUUCAUGGAGUUUUGUUGGUAUUUGUUUAUGCACAGCUCUAUUAAGGGUCUGGCCUUUGACUGUGCCAUUGUAAUACCUUGGUUCUUUUCUUUUUCAGCCAUUCUGUUGUAGAUUUGCUGGUGUGCUUGGGAUUGCAUGACCCAUUUUCAGCCAAACUUUAAGUCGGACAGAGGCCCUCAAAUUUGACUUUAGAUUACUUUGUAUACAGAGGAGUUCAUGGCCGAUUUAAUGACCGCAAUGUUCCCAGGUCCUGUGGCUGCAAAACAAGCCCAAAGCAUCACCCCUCCACCACCGUGCUUGACAGUUGGUAUGAGGUGUUCGUGAGGAUAUGCGGUGUUUGGUUUUUGCCAAAUGUUGCGCUGUGCAUUAUGGACAAACAUCUCCACUUUGGUCUCAUCUGUCCAAAGGACAUUGUUUUAGAAGUCGUGUGGUUUUUCUGCAGAUACAACUUUGCAAAUUUAAGCCGUGCUGCCAUGUACCUUAAAGAGAGAAGAGCCUUUUGCCUGGCAACCCUUUCAAACAAAGCAUACUUGUUCAGUCUUUUUCGAAUUGUACUGUCAUGAACUUUAACAUUUAACAUGCUAACUUUGGCCUGUAGAGUCUGAGAUGUAACUCUUGGGUUUUUUGCAAUUUCUCUGAGCAUUGCACGGUCUGACCUUGGGGUGAAUUUGCUGGGACGUCCACUCCUGGGAAGAUUGGCAACGGUCUUGAAUGUUUUCCACUUUUGAAUAAUCUUUCUCACUGUCGAAUGAUGUACUUGAAAUUGUUUGGAAAUGGCCUUAUAGCUCUUCCCAGAUUGAUGGGCAAUAACAAUUGCUUCUCUAAGAUCAUUGCUGAUGUCAUUUUUCCUUGGCAUUGUGUUUACACCCACACCUGAAUGCUCCAGACCAGUAAACUGCAAAAACUUUGACUUUAAUAUGAGGUGAUGUCAUGCAAUGUGUGAAAAAAAAAUUUCCUUUUAGUGAAUGGUCACUAAUUUAUUUAGAAUAAAAUCACUCAAGUAUUUUCUUCCAGAAAACAAAACAAACUUUAGAGUUGUAAUUUCAAUAUAAAGGUUAUAACUGAAAUAGAGAACCAAUUUGCUUAUAAAACAAUAAAUACAAGAGGAUAUUGAAGGUACCUCUUUCGUUUCUCUCAGCAGAGAAAGAGUUAAACAGUAAAGAAAGGUCGUAGGUUCAGUCCAGAUUCUCAAAAAUCAGUCUCUUUUUUUUUUUUUUUAAAGGGAGAGUGGUUAAUUAGAUUAGCCAAAGGUCAAAUACUGAGAGAUGAGUGGAUGAAAGGAAGGGUGGAGAUAUAAACCGGAGUCCUGUAAGCAAGUCCGUGAUGUUUUCUUGGAGGGGGGGUCGUAAUCCGAUCUGAGUCAGCCAACAAAAAAACCUUAAAGUAAGGGGUUUGUAGAUGCGGAUGGUCAGCAGAGAGUAAGCCAGAGGAACGGUAACAAGGUAAAUAUCGGAGGCACAGAAGGUUGCAGAGUUCAAUUCCUACGUGGGAGAGAGAACGCAAGGGAGGAAAAGGAACAUGAGCACCAGGAUCAGACUUAUUAAUCGAGCUCUGAACACUAGGAUUCAGAGUAAAUAGGAGUAUAGUAGUUAAUUUCUUAAAGGAACAUCCAUCCUGGGAGCAAAAUAAAUAAAAAACCAUCAUAGAUGGACACAAUUGCUGAUGAUCAAUUAAUCAAGAGCAUUUGAUUAGCAGCCCAUGUCUGCUACUUAGCUUCUUUAUUC